UACCUGCAGCUCAAGUGGUGACCGCUAUUAUUGGGCCUAAAACGUUCGUAGCCGGCUGAGUAAAUGCUUGGGUAAAUCGUGUAGCUUAACUAUACGAAUUCCGGGUAGACUGCUUAGCUUGAGACCGGGAGAAGCUAGAGGUACUCCUGGGGUAGAGGUGAAAUUCUGUAAUCCUGGGGGGACCACCAGUGGCGAAGGCGUCUAGCUAGAACGGGUCUGACGGUGAGGGACGAAACCCUGGGGCGCAAACCGGAUUAGAUACCCGUGUAGUCCAGGGCGCAAACGCUGCUUGCUUGACGUUAGUCGGGCUCCGAGCUCGGCUAGUGUCGGAGAGAAGUUGUUAAGCAAGCUGCCUGGGAAGUACAAUCGCAAGAUUGAAACUUAAAGGAUUGGCGGGGAGCACAGCAACGGGUGGAGCGUGCGGUUU
Molecule: ribosomal RNA, 427 nt
Filed under: uncultured archaeon
Lineage: Archaea
Description: bacterial SSU rRNA
Rfam family: Archaeal small subunit ribosomal RNA
Source: RNAcentral